UCCCUGGUAGCUCAGAUGGUAAAGCGUCUGCCUGCAAUGCAGGAGACCCAGGUUCGAUCCCUGGGUGGGAAG
RNAcentral lists this transfer RNA (72 nucleotides) under Ovis aries (sheep). It matches the Rfam family "tRNA". From Rfam's summary of the family: Transfer RNA (tRNA) molecules are approximately 80 nucleotides in length. Their secondary structure includes four short double-helical elements and three loops (D, anti-codon, and T loops). Lineage: Eukaryota; Metazoa; Chordata; Mammalia; Artiodactyla; Bovidae. The record is from Rfam by way of RNAcentral.